RNAcentral lists this ribosomal RNA (367 nucleotides) under uncultured fungus. RNAcentral's name for it is "LSU rRNA". It matches the Rfam family "Eukaryotic large subunit ribosomal RNA", at positions 65 to 424 of the family's 3401-position model. The record is from RNAcentral. Lineage: Eukaryota; Fungi.
CAUACAAGGAUUCCCCUAGUAACGGCGAGGAAGCGGGAAGAGCUCAAAUUUAAAAUCUGGUGGUCUUUGAUUGCCCGAAUUGUAAUCUAGAGAAGCGUUUUCCGCGCUGGACUGUGUACAAGUUUCCUGGAUACGGAACAUCAUAGAGGGUGAGAAUCCCGUCCUUGACACAGACUCCCAGUGCUUUUGCGAUGCGCUCUCGACGAGUCGAGUUGUUUGGGAUUGCAGCUCAAAAUGGGAGGUAAAUUCCUUCUAAAGCUAAAUAUUGGCGAGAGACCGAUAGCGAACAAGUACCGUGAGGGAAAGAUGAAAAGCACUUUGGAAAGAGAGUUAAACAGUACGUGAAAUUGUUAAAAGGGAAACGCUU